This 494-nucleotide ribosomal RNA is filed under the name uncultured bacterium. RNAcentral's name for it is "bacterial SSU rRNA". It matches the Rfam family "Bacterial small subunit ribosomal RNA", at positions 899 to 1397 of the family's 1533-position model. The record is from RNAcentral.
ACUCAAAGGAAUUGACGGGGGCCCGCACAAGCAGUGGAGUAUGUGGUUUAAUUCGACGCAACGCGAAGAACCUUACCAGGUCUUGACAUCCUAGGAAGACUGCAGAGACGCAGUUGUGCCCUUCGGGGAGCCUAGAGACAGGUGGUGCAUGGUUGUCGUCAGCUCGUGUCGUGAGAUGUUGGGUUAAGUCCCGCAACGAGCGCAACCCUUGCCAUUAGUUGCUACGCAAGAGCACUCUAAUGGGACCGCUACCGACAAGGUGGAGGAAGGCGGGGAUGAUGUCAAAUCAUCAUGCCCCUUAUGACCUGGGCUACACACGUACUACAAUGGCCGUCAACAACGGGAAGCGAAGGAGCGAUCCGGAGCAAAUCCCCAAAAGCGGUCUCAGUUCAGAUCGCAGGCUGCAACCCGCCUGCGUGAAGUCGGAAUUGCUAGUAAUCGCGGAUCAGCAUGCCGCGGUGAAUACGUUCCCGGGCCUUGUACACACCGCCCGU